GAUGAAGAACGUAGCGAAAUGCGAUAAGUAAUGUGAAUUGCAGAAUUCAGUGAAUCAUCGAAUCUUUGAACGCACAUUGCGCCCGCCAGUAUUCUGGCGGGCAUGCCUGUUCGAGCGUCAUUUCAACCAUCAAGCCCCAGGCUUGUGUUGGGGACCUGCGGCUGCCGCAGGCCCUGAAAACCAGUGGCGGGCUCGCUGUCACACCGGGCGUAGUAGAUUUUAUCUCGCUCAGGGCGUGCUGCGGGUUCCGGCCGUUAAAAAGCCUUUUUUACCCAAGGUUGACCUCGGAUCAGGUAGGAAGACCCGCUGAACUUAAGCAUACAAUAAGCGGAGGA
This 335-nucleotide unclassified non-coding RNA is filed under the name soil metagenome. RNAcentral describes it as "partial contains 5.8S ribosomal RNA, internal transcribed spacer 2, and large subunit ribosomal RNA". The stretch from base 1 to 120 matches the Rfam family "5.8S ribosomal RNA", at positions 35 to 154 of the family's 154-position model. The record is from RNAcentral.